ACGAACGCUGGCGGUGUGCCUCACACAUGCAAGUCGAACGGGGUAGCAAUACCCAGUGGCGGACGGGUGAGUAACACGUGGGAAUCUGCCUUUGGAUGGGGGAUAGCAAGCCGAAAGGCUUAUUAAUACCGCAUAUGCGUGCAUCUAGACAUGGGUGUACGUGAAAGGAGCAAUCCGUCUGAAGAUGAGCCCGCGCCCGAUUAGCUAGUUGGUAGGGUAAAGGCCUACCAAGGCGACGAUCGGUAGCUGGUCUGAGAGGAUGAUCAGCCACAAUGGGACUGAGACACGGCCCAUACUCCUACGGGAGGCAGCAGUGGGGAAUUUUACGCAAUGGGGGAAACCCUGACGUAGCGACACCGCGUGAGCGAAGAAGCCCUUUGGGGUGUAAAGCUCUGUCAACAGGAACGAAAAAAAUGACGGUACCUGUGGAGGAAGCAUCGGCUAACUACGU
This 451-nucleotide ribosomal RNA is filed under the name uncultured bacterium. RNAcentral's name for it is "bacterial SSU rRNA". It matches the Rfam family "Bacterial small subunit ribosomal RNA", at positions 29 to 506 of the family's 1533-position model. The record is from RNAcentral.